This 255-nucleotide ribosomal RNA is filed under the name uncultured bacterium. Its description in RNAcentral is "partial 16S ribosomal RNA". It matches the Rfam family "Bacterial small subunit ribosomal RNA", at positions 524 to 776 of the family's 1533-position model. The record is from RNAcentral.
CACGUAGGGUGCGAGCGUUUGUCCGGAAUUAUUGGGCGUAAAGAGCUCGUAGGCGGUGUGUCGCGUCGGCCGUGAAAACCUGCAGCUUAACUGUGGGCUUGCGGUCGAUACGGGCAUCACUGGAGUUCGGCAGGGGAGACUGGAAUUCCUGGUGUAGCGGUGAAAUGCGCAGAUAUCAGGAAGAACACCCGUGGCGAAAGCGGCUCUCUGGAACGGUACUGACGCUGAGGCGCGAAAGCGUGGGGAGCGAACAGG